AAUCAAGUGAGCUACCUAACUAAAAAGCCGUCGUUAUUAAUAGGCGCGUGCUGCAACUUUGGCCACCCCUGGAGUCUUGCUACCCCGAAACGCGUCUGUAAUGUCCCGAAACGUUGUGUGGCUACGCAGCUCGACAAAUAAUAAUCAUCAGCGAAAAUAUGGAGAGAGGUUCAGACGCUUGGAGAAGAUUGAUUUGUACCCACAUAAGAAGGGCAACGAAAGCAACCUAAAUACUGUGGCAGAAGUACACUGAAUGGUACUGUAAGAGAGAUGCUUGAUUGGUUAUCAGUUGAGAGUUUUAAGGUAAACAAUUUGUUGAAAUACUAAUUAAAGACUGAUUUUAGAAUACAAAUACAUUGUUUCCAAAUUUAGAGAACACUUACUAAUAUCAAGAAACAAGUACUAAUAUCUAUAGUAAGCAAUCUCUAACAUGUUUACUUUCUCAUUUGCUAUAAAAAAGCAGUUAGCAAAAUUCCUCUAAAUUCUCCCACUAAAUCCUCCUAGCAAAAUUCAGGAAGGAAUAAAAAUGCCCCCUGAUAUGGUAAUGUCUGUGUUGAGGUAUUUUGAUUUUGGGAUGUGGGAUCAGAUUUGUGGACUUUCCCUUCUCUACCCACUCUUGCCACCAUUUACUUUGUUUGAAUUCAUCUGAAUUCUGGACUAACAAUGUGGCUAAAGCAUCAGCAUGAUUCUUCUCCUGUUUAAAUCGUCAUCCUGUUAUUCCAACCACUAUAAAGCAUAACUCCCGUUCAUAAUGAUUUCAAAAAGAUAUGCUGAAGUUUUUUUAAUAGGCAGAUAAACUGGGUCAUGAAGUUUUCCCCAGAUGGCCAUGGGGCCAUUUCCUGUGCAUGCAAGCAGAAAGAUUUUAAAACCACUGUAAACAGAUGAAUGGAGCAUAUCCUGCCAGCAAAUGCUAAAAUGAAAUAACUGCUACCCACGGUUGUGUGUGCCUGGUAUCAUGGUUUUCUAUUGAAGCGGUCUGUUCUGAAUAUACUGUUAUUUUAUAUUCACCUUGGAAAUAACGUUAACAUUCAGAUCUUUCUGUGAAUUGGUUGU
This is a long non-coding RNA of Puntigrus tetrazona (Sumatra barb), 1053 nucleotides long. RefSeq lists it as uncharacterized. The transcript is spliced from 3 exons. NCBI's taxonomy places the organism in Eukaryota, Metazoa, Chordata, Actinopteri, Cypriniformes, Cyprinidae. The record is from RefSeq and is a predicted model, not a curated record.